CAGUAGCCACGGGAAAACGUAGGGUCCGAGCGUUGUCCGGAAUUAUUGGGCGUAAAGGGCUCGUAGGCGGUUUGUCACGUCGGGAGUGAAAACUCAGGGCUCAACCCUGAGCGUGCUUCCGAUACGGGCAGACUAGAGGUAUGCAGGGGAGAACGGAAUUCCUGGUGUAGCGGUGGAAUGCGCAGAUAUCAGGAGGAACACCGGUGGCGAAGGCGGUUCUCUGGGCAUUACCUGACGCUGAGGAGCGAAAGCAUGGGGAGCGAACAGGAUUAGAUACCCCGGUAGUCCCUGUCUCUUAUAC
This 301-nucleotide ribosomal RNA is filed under the name uncultured bacterium. Its description in RNAcentral is "partial 16S ribosomal RNA". It matches the Rfam family "Bacterial small subunit ribosomal RNA", at positions 509 to 807 of the family's 1533-position model. The record is from RNAcentral.